Homo sapiens (human) is the source of this 572-nucleotide long non-coding RNA. The record is from Ensembl. Lineage: Eukaryota; Metazoa; Chordata; Mammalia; Primates; Hominidae.
CCUGAAUGUCGCUGGCUGCCGUUCACAGCAGGCUCUCUCUGAGCACCGUGGGGAGGCAGUGACACCCGCUGGCCUCGCAGCGACACUCCGGCAGCUGUCCUGUUUUCCAGCCUGGACGUGAUAGCAAAGAUAAAGAACCUGUAAAGAACCACCCAUCUAGGGAUACAUUUCCAGCCCCCCUUUUAUCAAAGCGGUGACAUGUGACCGAAUUCUGCCCAGUGACAUGUGGGAAGAAGUGGCUCUUUCAGGACUGUUCCCCCAAAACUGUCUUUGGGAUGCUCCAAACUUCUUUAUUCCCCCAAUCCUCUGAUGAACAUGCACCUGACAUUGGAUGCUACAUGUUAAAAACGGAGUUGUCAUCUUCUACCUGGGUCGCUGAAUGACUGUGUGGAUCAGGAAGCUCCCCACUCUUCCCUGCCAUGACUGAACUAGCCACUGUCAUCUGGAGGGUGUCUGUAAUAGCAUCUAGCAUUGCCUAACAUCAUACUAAUGGAACACUACAUAUUUUCAUCUGAAGUGAUAUCAGUGGAAUUUCCACUGAAAGCAAAGGUUUAGAUUUUGGAGCAAUAAUG